This 483-nucleotide ribosomal RNA is filed under the name uncultured bacterium. RNAcentral describes it as "partial 16S ribosomal RNA". It matches the Rfam family "Bacterial small subunit ribosomal RNA", at positions 30 to 506 of the family's 1533-position model. The record is from RNAcentral.
AUUGAACGCUGGCGGCAGGCCUAACACAUGCAAGUCGAGCGGAUGAAGGGAGCUUGCUCCUGGAUUCAGCGGCGGACGGGUGAGUAAUGCCUAGGAAUCUGCCUGGUAGUGGGGGAUAACGUCCGGAAACGGGCGCCAAUACCGCAUACGUCCUGAGGGAGAAAGUGGGGGAUCUUCGGACCUCACGCUAUCAGAUGAGCCUAGGUCGGAUUAGCUAGUUGGUGGGGUAAAGGCCUACCAAGGCGACGAUCCGUAACUGGUCUGAGAGGAUGAUCAGUCACACUGGAACUGAGACACGGUCCAGACUCCUACGGGAGGCAGCAGUGGGGAAUAUUGGACAAUGGGCGAAAGCCUGAUCCAGCCAUGCCGCGUGUGUGAAGAAGGUCUUCGGAUUGUAAAGCACUUUAAGUUGGGAGGAAGGGCAGUAAGUUAAUACCUUGCUGUUUUGACGUUACCAACAGAAUAAGCACCGGCUAACUUCGU